This 1224-nucleotide long non-coding RNA is filed under the name Homo sapiens (human). RNAcentral's name for it is "HSALNT0365563". Lineage: Eukaryota; Metazoa; Chordata; Mammalia; Primates; Hominidae. The record is from RNAcentral.
GGGCCCGGAGUUAAGGAGGAAUAGACCGUUUCUCUCUCUCCUGUCUCCCCCGCCUCUGCCCGUCUUCCCUCUAAGCCGGCCUCUAGGUGCAGAGGCUGACGUCCAGGAUGGGGACCGGGGAAGCCUCUGGAGGGUAUAUCCGGGAAGGCACCAAGGCUGAAAAAGAUGCAGUCUAGCACCUCAGUUAAGAAUAUGGACUCUAAAGUCAGACUGCCAGGCUUCAAAUUCCAGUUCUGCGACCUCAGCAAAGUUACUUAACCAAGCUCUCAGUGCCUUGUUUUCUUCAUCUGUAAAAUGAGGAUGACGUCACAGCAUUGUUGAGAGAAUUAAUACAGGCUCCAGACUUGUGAAUGGAGAAGUGUUGAGGUGACCCCAGCUCCAGCCACCAGCUGACGACAACCAUACCGGAGAUCCUGAGAGCUGCCUAGCUGACCCCAGGCACCCCCCAGACUUAUUCAGCACUUAGAAGAAUGCCAGGCAGGCUUUCCCCACCAACCAAGAUGGAAUAACAGGGAAAAGACAUACCCUUCUAUCUUCAAUAAUUGGAAACCCAGACAAAGUUUAUGAAACGCUGGUUUUCAAGACAUAGGACAUCAGACAAUCAAGGACAGUAAACACUGAGAUGGGAAACAAACAAGCCAAAAACUGGAAACAGCCCAAAUGUCCAGCAACAAAAGAAUGGAUAAACAAAUUGUGGUAUAUUUACUACCUAGCAGUUGAAAGAAAUAAACCUCUGACACACACAAGCUGGAUUAAAAAAGAAGAGGAAAUGAAUUAUUGAUACAUAUAAUAAAGAUUACUCUCAAAAUAAUUAUGGUAAGUCAAAGAAGUCAGACCAUGCUCCCUAAGAGUAUAUACUUCAUGAUUCAAUUUCUGUACAAUUCUAUAAAAUGCAAAUUAAUAUAUGAUAACAAAAAGUGAUUGCCUGGAAAUGGUGAGAGGACAGAGGGGCCAGAAUCAGCCAGGAUUACAAAGAUGCACAAGGAAACUUUUGAGGGUGGUGGAUAUCUUGAGUGUGGUGAUAGUUUUACAGUUGUAUGCCUAUGUUAGAAGCUAUCAAAUUGUACACUUUAAGUAUGUACACUUUGUUGUAUAUUAAUUAUGCCUUAAUAAAGUUAUUAUAAAAAGUAGUUCCAGGCAAUACUAGACACUCAAUAAACAUUUGUAAACUAGUCGUUGACUUUCUUGGACUGUGACUUGUUAGCAGUUAGGGAUUGAUUAUUC